Molecule: ribosomal RNA, 450 nt
Filed under: uncultured bacterium
Lineage: Bacteria
Description: partial 16S ribosomal RNA
Rfam family: Bacterial small subunit ribosomal RNA
Source: RNAcentral
GUGGGGAAUAUUGGACAAUGGGCGAAAGCCUGAUCCAGUCAUGCCGCGUGUGUGAAGAAGGUCUUCGGAUUGUAAAGCACUUUAAGUUGGGAGGAAGGGCAGUAAGUUAAUACCUUGCUGUUUUGACGUUACCGACAGAAUAAGCACCGGCUAACUUCGUGCCAGCAGCCGCGGUAAUACGAAGGGUGCAAGCGUUAAUCGGAAUUACUGGGCGUAAAGCGCGCGUAGGUGGUUUUGUAAGUUGUAGGUGAAAUCCCCGGGCUCAACCUGGGAACUGUCUCCAAAACUGCAUGACUAGAGUACGGUAGAGAGUAGUGGAAUUUCCUGUGUAGCGGUGAAAUGCGUAGAUAUAGGAAGGAACACCAGUGGCGAAGGCGACUACCUGGACUGAUACUGACACUGAGGUGCGAAAGCGUGGGGAGCAAACAGGAUUAGAAACCCCGGUAGUCC